GGGGAAAAGAAACCAACAGGGAUUGCCUCAGUAACGGCGAGUGAAGCGGCAAGAGCUCAAAUUUGAAAUCUGGAGCCUUCGGCUUCCGAGUUGUAAUUUGAAGAGGAUGUUUCGGUUGCGGCCUGGGCCUAAGUUCCUUGGAACAGGACGUCAUGGAGGGUGAGAAUCCCGUACAUGGCUGCAGGCUUGCUUCCAUGUGAAACUCCUUCGAAGAGUCGAGUUGUUUGGGAAUGCAGCUCAAAAUGGGUGGUAAAUUUCAUCUAAAGCUAAAUAUUGGCGGGAGACCGAUAGCGCACAAGUAGAGUGAUCGAAAGAUGAAAAGCACUUUGAAAAGAGAGUUAAACAGUACGUGAAAUUGUUGAAAGGGAAGCGCUUGCAAUCAGACUCGCUUUCGGUUGAUCAACGUUCCUUUUGGUUCGUGCACUCUGCCGUUGGCGGGCCAGCAUCAGUUGAGGCGGCGGGACAAAGGUAGCGGGAAUGUGGCUCCCUCGCGGGAGUGUUAUAGCCCGUUGCGCCAUGCCGCCAGCUUCGACUGAGGUCCGCGAUUUAUCUAGGAUGCUGGCUUAAUGGUUGUAAGCGACCCGUCUUGAAACACGGACCAAGGAGUCUAACAUCUAUGCGAGUCUUUGGGUGUCAAACCCAUGGGCGGAAUGAAAGUGAACGGAGGUGGGAGUCCUCGGAUGCACCAUCGACCGAUCCUGAUGUCUUCGGAUGGAUUUGAGUAUGAGCAUAGCUGUUGGGACCCGAAAGAUGGUGAACUAUGCCUGAAUAGGGUGAAGCCAGAGGAAACUCUGGUGGAGGCUCGCAGCGGUUCUGACGUGCAAAUCGAUCGUCAAAUUUGGGUAUAGGGGCGAAAGACUAAUCGAACCAUCUAGUAGCUGGUUCCUGCC
Molecule: ribosomal RNA, 890 nt
Filed under: Dactylellina leptospora
Lineage: Eukaryota; Fungi; Ascomycota; Orbiliomycetes; Orbiliales; Orbiliaceae
Description: partial large subunit ribosomal RNA
Rfam family: Eukaryotic large subunit ribosomal RNA
Source: RNAcentral